UGCCAUGGGAUCUUCUAAGUCCAACUGAGAGGGCUGAUGGAUUUCAUCUGAAAGACUAUACAACAUUGCCUCAUUACUGGAGAGUCGGUCUAAACUUCAACUGAAAUUCUUGGAGCGAGACGUGAAUGCACAGUCUGUUUUGUAUCCAAAAACUCCAUUCACUUCUUGAGGAAUGAAUCGAACUGGCUGAAAGAUGGUAUCUGUGAAGCCUGGAAUAUCAGGAGAAGAACUCACCACUCACUGAAUAUCCGCCAAAAAGAACAUCAUCCCAAGCAUUGCAUUAUCUAUCAAAGGCUGCUGUGCACCUGGAUGAACACUGGCAUGCUGAUG
Molecule: long non-coding RNA, 330 nt
Organism: Hemiscyllium ocellatum (epaulette shark)
Lineage: Eukaryota; Metazoa; Chordata; Chondrichthyes; Orectolobiformes; Hemiscylliidae
Exons: 3
Source: RefSeq, a predicted model, not a curated record